RNAcentral lists this ribosomal RNA (253 nucleotides) under uncultured bacterium. RNAcentral's name for it is "partial 16S ribosomal RNA". It matches the Rfam family "Bacterial small subunit ribosomal RNA", at positions 524 to 776 of the family's 1533-position model. The record is from RNAcentral.
UACGUAGGGGGCAAGCGUUGUCCGGAAUCAUUGGGCGUAAAGAGCGUGUAGGCGGCCCGAUAAGUCCGCUGUGAAAGUCCAGGGCUCAACCCUGGAAUGCCGGUGGAUACUGUCGGGCUCGAAUCCGGAAGAGGUGAGUGGAAUUCCUGGUGUAGCGGUGAAAUGCGCAGAUAUCAGGAGGAGCACCAAUGGCGAAGGCAGCUCACUGGGACGGUAUUGACGCUGAGACGCGAAAGCGUGGGGAGCAAACAGG